UGAUGUUGUCCAGUCGAGUACACAAAGGUUCGAAGGAGUGGAACAUGAUGAGAGAUCCUACAAAGCUACAAGUGAAGUUGAGGAUCAAAGUGACCUUUCUUCCGUAAGUAUUGAAGACUUGCAUUUGCCUUAAUUGUGCAGUCCUUAUAGCUUACGUGAAAUUGCAACGUGGUCCAGGUGAAGAGGGAUAGAACUUUGACAAUUACUUGGAAGAACAGGCAGGGGAAGUAGGACCAGAUGUGAUUGAAUCCCUAGAAGGGAUCCUGCUCGAAGAGGCAGAGCAAGGGGUAUAGCUUCAAGUUCGAGAAAACAGCAAAGCUUCAAGGUCGGCCGGGGACAUAGCUUCUACUUCAAGAAAGGGCGAGUCAUCAAUUUCAAAUUAGACUAUAUUGCUAAUUUUUGUCUUGCAUUGCAAUCACUGGCCAUUAGAAUUUCAUCAACAGCUCUUUUCUUUUCAACUUCUGAUUCCAUACAAAAUUCACUUUCCCCAUUUAAUUCACUAAAAUUGCUAUAUGUUAGCUAUGAAAAAUCCAGACCCCAGUGUAAGUAUCUUACCU
RNAcentral lists this long non-coding RNA (557 nucleotides) under Eucalyptus grandis. Its description in RNAcentral is "long non-coding RNA (EGRA_LNC004935)". The record is from RNAcentral. Lineage: Eukaryota; Viridiplantae; Streptophyta; Magnoliopsida; Myrtales; Myrtaceae.